Molecule: ribosomal RNA, 406 nt
Filed under: uncultured prokaryote
Also listed under: 1 other name
Description: bacterial SSU rRNA
Rfam family: Bacterial small subunit ribosomal RNA
Source: RNAcentral
UGGGGGAUAUUGGUCAAUGGGGGAAACCCUGAACCAGCAACGCCGCGUGAAGGAAGAAGGCCUUCGGGUUGUAAACUUUUGUCUUCAGGGAAGAAAAAAUGACGGUACCUGAGGAGGAAGCCACGGCUAACUACGUGCCAGCAGCCGCGGUAAUACGUAGGUGGCGAGCGUUGUCCGGAAUUACUGGGUGUAAAGGGUGCGUAGGCGGGUAAUAAAGUCAGAUGUGAAAUGCCGGGGCUCAACUCCGGAGGUGCAUUUGAAACUUAUUAUCUUGAGUGAAGUAGAGGCAAGUGGAAUUCCCAGUGUAGCGGUGAAAUGCGUAGAUAUUGGGAGGAACACCAGUGGCGAAGGCGACUUGCUGGGCUUUAACUGACGCUGAUGCACGAAAGCAUGGGGAGCAAACAGG